AAACCAGGUUGUGGACAUUGACGAAGCAAACCUUUGCAUCUUUCCCAUUCCUCAUAAUAGCACUCCGAAUCAAGUUAUGAAAAUAUAGUGAUCUCAUCUCUCAACUU
Molecule: small nucleolar RNA, 107 nt
Filed under: Olea europaea subsp. europaea
Lineage: Eukaryota; Viridiplantae; Streptophyta; Magnoliopsida; Lamiales; Oleaceae
Description: Plant small nucleolar RNA R71
Rfam family: Plant small nucleolar RNA R71
About the family: R71 is a member of the C/D box family of snoRNAs containing the C (UGAUGA) and D (CUGA) box motifs. Multiple nearly identical copies of this snoRNA have been identified in Arabidopsis, and it is thought to function as a 2'-O-ribose methylation guide for 18S ribosomal RNA.
Source: Rfam by way of RNAcentral